RNAcentral lists this small nuclear RNA (20 nucleotides) under Arabidopsis thaliana (thale cress). Its description in RNAcentral is "snRNA_06446". Lineage: Eukaryota; Viridiplantae; Streptophyta; Magnoliopsida; Brassicales; Brassicaceae. The record is from RNAcentral.
UGUUCUUAUGGGUUUUUCAG